UACGGGGGGAGCAAGCGUUGUUCGGAUUUACUGGGCGUAAAGGGCGCGUAGGCGGUCGUGACAAGUCACUUGUGAAAUCUCCGGGCUUAACUCGGAACGGUCAAGUGAUACUGUCGGACUAGAGUACAGAAGGGGCAACUGGAAUUCUCGGUGUAGCGGUGAAAUGCGUAGAUAUCGGGAGGAACACCAGUGGCGCAAGCGGCUGACUGGCCGAGACCUGACGCUGAGACGCGACGGCGUGGGGAGCAAACCGG
This 254-nucleotide ribosomal RNA is filed under the name uncultured bacterium. RNAcentral's name for it is "partial 16S ribosomal RNA". It matches the Rfam family "Bacterial small subunit ribosomal RNA", at positions 524 to 776 of the family's 1533-position model. The record is from RNAcentral.